Molecule: RNA transcript, 931 nt
Organism: Olea europaea var. sylvestris
Lineage: Eukaryota; Viridiplantae; Streptophyta; Magnoliopsida; Lamiales; Oleaceae
Gene name: cyclin-D3-1-like
Exons: 3
Source: RefSeq, a predicted model, not a curated record
AAAAGGGAUUUGCUUGGAUUCACAUUUCAAAUAGCAUAUUUGUCUGUCAUUUAUCUUGACAGAUUUCUUUCAAGAAGAUCCAUUGAUGCAGAAAAAUACUGGCUGUGAGAUUACUAUCAAUGACUUGUCUUUCAUUGGCUGCCAAAAUGGAAGAACGCGUCGUGCUAGCAUUACCAGAGUUUUGUGUCGAAGAGUAUAGUUUUGAGAGUAGUGUGAUACAGAGAAUGGGGCUUUUAGUACUGAAUACAUUGGAGUGGAAAAUGGGACCAGUCACUCCUUUUGCUCUUACCCAUUUCUUUUUAACAACGUUCUGCCAAGGUUCUCGAAAAAGAAAUGCAAUUUCAACAAUUAUGGAAGUUAUUUUGGGUGCAAAAAGAUGCGAAAAUAAUGUGCUAUAAAUCAUCUAUGACAGCGACACCAACCACAUUGGUGGCAUUGGAUCCAAGAUUAACAAGAGAUGCUUUGGAGCUGAAAAUCAGUCUUUUAUCUUCAAGUGGUGUCCUUAAAAUUGUGAGAAAAAUUCUUUAUAGGAUUUCGAAUAAUUUCAUCUUCUUCCCUUCAAAAAUUGUGAUUAUGUUGUAUGCUGAUCGAAAUGUUUCGGAUUCCUUGGUGGCAUUCGUUUCUGUUUUAGGAAGACGUUGUUUCAUGUUAUUUCUCGAAUUUUGGAAUUGGAUAUAUUGAAGUUAAAUAGGGGCAUUAUGUCUCCGAAUUUAUUGCCAAAAUCAAUUGCAAAAAGCUGAAGUUUUGGGAAGUUUGGUUACUACUUCUGCUGCUAGGGCUAAAAGAAAGAAGCUUACAUUCAACGGAAAUGACCAUAUAUCUCACAAGAAGCGACAUCACUGAAAAGUUUUACUACCAAAAUUGAUUCUGUGGAUGAAAUAAGACACAUAUAUUUUGGUGUUGAUUAUGGGUGUCUGUUGAGCGAGAAGCA